RNAcentral lists this small RNA (1881 nucleotides) under Cryptococcus neoformans H99. RNAcentral describes it as "Cryptococcus neoformans var. grubii H99 hypothetical RNA". Lineage: Eukaryota; Fungi; Basidiomycota; Tremellomycetes; Tremellales; Cryptococcaceae. The record is from RNAcentral.
UUUUCACACUUUUUGCUCCAGUUUCCGAAUUGGAGGAAGUCAUGCGUGAGAUCAGGGUGCUGUAUCCAAACUACCUCAUUGCCGGCCUCUUGUAACUUGCAAGGUAAACUUACAACUGAUCAAAACCAGCGGUGAAGACAUGCUGGCGGCAGACCUUUCAAAUUCCCAACAUCUUGCAUCCCGGGGAGACGUAUCUAUCCGAAGGAGGAACACCACGAGGCAAAUAAUCGUCGGCAAAUGAGAAGAUACCAUUUGCCUCGAGGUAAUAUCCCCGGUUGUUUUCGGCACAGGCUUUAGUGUCAAAAGGAACCCUGGCUUCGGGGUAUAGAAGCAAUUGGGCUGCGAGAUUGGCCUUUUUCUGGUCAUGCAAGCGAAGGGAGAGAGCUGCCGCCAUAUAUCCACUGAUGAUUAUGUCGAUUUCGUUGUUCGACUAUCUAGUGACUCACCCUGCCGACUCGCCUCCUCCCACAACCUUCUUGAUCCCGCUCUUCUUUCCCUCUUCGCCUUGGAGCCAGGUCACGACUGUUUCGUAUUCAUCCAAUUGAGUGGGAAACUUCGUUCAACAUUUGCCCUCUCAUUCUUUCCUCCAGACUGUCACAUUGACUGGUUUUAAAUAACCAUAAUGUGAGUCAUCCCCAUUUUAUUAUAGUACUGCAGUUCAUGUCUUAUCGUUGAUCAAUCUCACAUAACUAUUACAUAUUGUUCACGUAAUACUGUACCACUGGAGAGUAUUCGAAGAAAGAACAAAUAAUAGUAGGAAGUAAACAUUUCUAACUUACAAGUAAUGAUGAUCCUGUCAUUAUUGACUUCCCGGCGGUUGUCAUCUAGUAUUACUUAUAUAAUUAUCAUGUUUAUUAUUCAAGUUUGAUCAUAGUUGGCUCAACUAUACGUAUCAUCCAGCGCAUCCAAAUCGAUUCUAGUCAUUUUCCCCGUAAGAGCCUCCCAAUUCAACACGUCUUUCAUCUGUGGAAUUGAGGGAAAGCUCAAUAUCCUCCUUCCUGCAGAUUUUGGCCGUAGCAGAAGCAUGCCUCACCCAUCUUAACGGUGGAUUUCGUUCGGGGAAAAUAUCCAACUCAGGCGCUAGGAAUAAUGUUCCGUCACACCCUUUGUAAAUUGUCAAGAGCAUGACGUAGAUCCAGUUGAAGACGACUUGAAUCGAUAUUAUUGUACCAAGGAUUUUGAAGGCCAAUGAAUCAAAUUCAGUUGCCAACGUUGUUGUGGCCGUCUAUUUCCGGCGGUAAACCCCACACUAAAUGAUUCUCUGCCGAAGUAUGCUCUGUUCGUAUUCCACCAAUGGUCUAGCAACACUGUCGUAGCUAGAACAUACCAGCAAAACGACAAACCCCAUAAUAUCAGACCUGCAACCAAACUUCCAGUGUAGACAGCGUCGGCCAUUUGCAAAAUGAUAUUUCUCCUCAAGACAGCAUCCGCCACACCGUCAGGGAUUACGGCGAAACCUAUCCCGUGCUUGUACGCCAAUUCAUGAACGGCUUUGCCCAGAGCCAUGAUACCAAAGCUUCCUUGUCCACAGGGACCCAGAGGAAGGUAGGUGCUCGUUAAUGCCGCAACGGGCGGAGCACCAUACAAAAAGCUGCGAUGGAGGUAGUUACACAUGACAAAAAGGGCAAAAGGAACACCAAUACCCCAGACGAUGUAGGAUACAAUGAUAAUCGAUCUGGCGAGCUGAGGGUUAUACGACAUGAUAGCUGACGAGACUACACCGCCUGAAGAGGAAGCGACAACGCAUGUGACGAUAGGGAGCAACCAAGCAGCUGACAUAGCCUCGGUAGUAUGGCUUUGGCGGGUGAUCCUGCAAAAUUGUUAGACGCCAUGUUUCAGAAGUACAGAUCGAUGAACUCACAUAAUGUAGACCAUCCCGAG